UUCCAAAGUCGUUCACCUCCUUCCAAUUUGCCGUCAAAAAUACAUCGCAACAUUUGAUAAUUCGAUCCUCAUCGAACUUCUCCUCCUUCUCUCUCUACUGUCACUGAAAGGUUAGAAGACCUGUGGGUUAAUGACAACCAGAUAGAGUCAAUUAAAGGCGUUGCUGAGGCUGUUGUUGGUUCGAGAGAGAGAAGCUGGCUACUAUAUAUAUACAUAUAUAUAUAUAUAUAUAUCUCGAACACGAUCCAUGUGUAUGAUUAUCUUCCAGAUCUUUAAUAGUUCUAUUACUCAGUUCCUCCAAAAUACUUUAGUUGCCAGGUAA
This 322-nucleotide long non-coding RNA is filed under the name Rosa chinensis. Its description in RNAcentral is "sRNA RchiOBHm_Chr5g0061671". Lineage: Eukaryota; Viridiplantae; Streptophyta; Magnoliopsida; Rosales; Rosaceae. The record is from RNAcentral.